UACGUAUGGUGCAAGCGUUAUCCGGAUUUACUGGGUGUAAAGGGAGCGUAGGUGGUCAUGCAAGUCAGGAGUGAAAUACCGGGGCUCAACCCCGGGGCUGCUCUUGAAACUGCGUAACUGGAGUGCAGGAGGGGUAAGCGGAAUUCCUAGUGUAGCGGUGAAAUGCGUAGAUAUUAGGAGGAACACCGGUGGCGAAGGCGGCUUACUGGACUGUAACUGACACUGAGGCUCGAAAGCGUGGGGAGCAAAC
This 250-nucleotide ribosomal RNA is filed under the name uncultured prokaryote. RNAcentral's name for it is "partial 16S ribosomal RNA". It matches the Rfam family "Bacterial small subunit ribosomal RNA", at positions 524 to 773 of the family's 1533-position model. The record is from RNAcentral.